CAGAAAUCUACUUUUUCCAAGAUGGCCUCUUCAAAAAAGUGUGCUGGGAAAACUGGAAAUCCAUAUGUAGUGGAAAAAAAUUAUAAUCAUUAUCUCUCACUCUGCACAAAAUUGAAUUCAAAGCAGAUAAAAGACCUAGAAACCCUAUACCUACUAGAAGAAAAUGUAGGCCCACACUCUUAACAUGUCAGCUUAGGAACAAAAUUCCUCAACAAGACUCCUAAAGCCCAAGAAGUAAAAUUAAGAAUCAAUAAACGGGAUGUUAUCAAACUAGAAGCUUAUUCACAGCAAAGGAAAUAAUCAAGAAUAUGAAGAGAAAGCCUACAGAAUGGGAGAAAAUUUUUGCCACCUGCAUUUCAGAUAGGUCAUUGAUUUCCAGGAUGUACAAAGAACUCAAGCAAAUUAACACCAAAAAAACAAAUAACCCAAUCAAUAAAUUGGCAAAGGAAUUAAAGAAGCACUUCACAGAAGAAAUACAAAUAUUCAACAAAUAUAUGAGAAAUGGUGAACAAGCACUUCAUGGAAGAAGAAAUUCAAAUAUUCAACAAAUAUAUGAGAAAUGGUCAACACCUUGAGCAAUUAGAGAAGGGCAAAUUAAAACUACACUGAGAUUUCAUUUCACUUUAAUCAGAAUGGCAACAAUCAAAUGUUGGUGAGGAUAUGGGGAAAAGAGUACACUCAUACAUUUCUGGUGGAAUUGUAAAUUGGUGUAGUCACUCUGGAAAGGAGUAGGAGAUUCCUUAGAAAACUUGGAAUGGAAAUAUCAUUUGACCCAAUAUCUUAGUCCCUGGUUUAUACCCAAAGCCACAUCAAUGUUUAUAGCAGCUCAAUUCAAAGUAGCUAAACUAUGGAACCAACUUGAGUGCCCUUCAACAUAUAAACUGGUAAAGAAAAUGUGGUCUAUGUACAUAAUGGAAUAUUACUCAACCAUACAAAUGAAUGACUUUAUAACUUUUGCCAAGCAAUGGAUGGAUAUGGAGAGUAUUAUGCUAUGUGAAAUAAGCUAAUCCCCCCAAAUCAAAAGUCAAAUGU
RNAcentral lists this long non-coding RNA (1032 nucleotides) under Marmota monax (woodchuck). The record is from RNAcentral. Lineage: Eukaryota; Metazoa; Chordata; Mammalia; Rodentia; Sciuridae.